This 518-nucleotide ribosomal RNA is filed under the name uncultured bacterium. RNAcentral describes it as "bacterial SSU rRNA". It matches the Rfam family "Bacterial small subunit ribosomal RNA", at positions 1 to 518 of the family's 1533-position model. The record is from RNAcentral.
GUCGUCGAGUACGUCAGAGAGUUAGUUAGUACUAUGGCUCAGGACGAACGCUGGCGGCGUGCUUAACACAUGCAAGUCGAGCGGAGAAUAUAGCAAUAUAUUCUUAGCGGCGGACGGGUGAGUAACGCGUGGGUAACCUGCCUUUUACAGGGGGAUAACACUGGGAAACUAGUGCUAAUACCGCAUAAAAUAGUGAAGUGGCAUCACUUUACUAUCAAAGGAGCAAUCCGGUAAAAGAUGGACCCGCGUCCGAUUAGCUAGUUGGAGGGGUAACGGCCCACCAAGGCGACGAUCGGUAGCCGAACUGAGAGGUUGAUCGGCCACAUUGGGACUGAGACACGGCCCAGACUCCUACGGGAGGCAGCAGUGGGGAAUAUUGCGCAAUGGGGGGAAAAACCCCCUGACGCAGCAACGCCGCGUGAAGGAUGAAGGUUUUCGGAUUGUAAACUUCUUUGAUUGGGGACGAUAAUGACGGUACCCAAAAAACAAGCCACGGCUAACUACGUGCCAGCAGCGGC